UACGUAGGCAGCGAGCGUUGUUCGGAGUUACUGGGCGUAAAGGGUGUGUAGGCGGUUCUUUAAGUUUGGUGUGAAAUCUCCCGGCUCAACCGGGAGGGUGCGCCGAAUACUGAGGGACUUCGAGUGCGGGAGAGGAAAGUGGAAUUCCUGGUGUAGCGGUGAAAUGCGUAGAGAUCAGGAGGAACACCGGUGGUGUAGACGGCUUUCUGGACCGUAACUGACGCUGAGACACGAAAGCGUGGGUAGCAAACAGG
Molecule: ribosomal RNA, 254 nt
Filed under: uncultured bacterium
Lineage: Bacteria
Description: partial 16S ribosomal RNA
Rfam family: Bacterial small subunit ribosomal RNA
Source: RNAcentral